Molecule: long non-coding RNA, 162 nt
Organism: Octopus sinensis (East Asian common octopus)
Lineage: Eukaryota; Metazoa; Mollusca; Cephalopoda; Octopoda; Octopodidae
Exons: 4
Source: RefSeq, a predicted model, not a curated record
GCCUUAAACGAGACCUUCGAAAACCGAAGUGGAGAAGGGUUCCGUGCCAACGGCGGUCGAGCACGGGUCAGUCGGUCCUAAGAAGCGGGUGAAAGCUUCCACGAAAGGCGCCGGGUCCGUCGAAGAACGAAAACGGUUGUAAUAAUAUAAUAGCAGCAACAG